RNAcentral lists this long non-coding RNA (1369 nucleotides) under Mus pahari (shrew mouse). RNAcentral's name for it is "lncRNA (MGP_PahariEiJ_G0005984.1)". The record is from RNAcentral. Lineage: Eukaryota; Metazoa; Chordata; Mammalia; Rodentia; Muridae.
CCCAUCUCCACUUCACCACGGCAGUCUUUUACCAGCCCAGUGCUGACUGGUGUGCUCGGAGAAUGUCUGACCAGGGUCUCCAGCUUCAGGUGACAUUUAAAAAGUCCCAACUGUCUCAGCUUGGGCUACAAUAGCGUGGCCCUGAUGAGGGAGCAGGCUCUGAGAAGGAGCCCCCAGAGUGGCCAGUCUAGGAGGCCAGUCUCCCUCCUAGUCUAUGGUGAUUGCAGAGGAGUCCCAGGUGUUGGGAAAGACUGCGUUGGGCACGCAGCCCAGCUCAGAACUGCUUGGCGGGGACAUUUUCAUGACAUGCGCCUUAGAGUCUGGGUAUGGGGAGAACUAGGGCUGAAGACCCAGCCUCCAAGUCACUACCAAGAUUCCCCAGGUGACGUCCAGUUCCUUCUGCCACUGUGGAUGCAGCUCAGGAAGGCCUCAGGGCGGCAGGCCAGCUCUCCCCACUACAACCCGACCCUGCUGAGGACAUCGGUGUGGUUCUGGGAGAAGACAUGACUCUCCUGAGCUAGAGACUGUUCCAGAGCAGGUCGUCUGAGGGCCCCAUAUCACCCACUAGCUCCCACACUGUUGUUGCAGGGUCUACAAAGGGGCUUCUUGUGAAACCAGGACUCUCUGGGCUUCAGAACCAGCAGCCUGCUGUUCAGAUUUAGGCCGCUGAACAGCAAUUGAUCUGCAGGAGGUGGUCCUUGGGAGAAUUCAUGGAGAAAAAUCCACCCUUAAUCAUGCUAUUUAUAAUUCUUUCAUAUGCUUCGAGGAGGACUCAGGACAAUGAGAAGCUCAGCCCAUCCUCCCCAGAGAGGUCCUUGCUUUAUAAGCUCACUUGUCAUUGUGUUUUGAAGCCCAUGGAUUUGUUCCGUAUGUAACUGACCGAGGGACCUUGGCAGCGUUACAGAGGAGCGCAGAUCUCUGCCUCAUCUGCCAGGCAGUCAUCGGGCUCUGUCUUCAGUACCAUCAAGGACUGGGGACUCUGUCUCCCUUUCCUGUUGAAAGAAAAGACUGUCCUGACCCCGCCCAGCCUUUCCUACAGUCCUCGUGAUGAGCUGGAGCCCACACUCUGGGGUCCUUGACUCCCACCGCUGACACCAUAAUUUCUUUAUCUAAGGCAAACUGCAGCCCCCUUCCCUCACGGGUGUUACCCUGUCUCUGCCAACCACCCUCCUCCUUUGUUCUGACUUAUUCAUGGGACAUGAGUUGUGGCUCAUUUGGAGCCUCUGGGAUCGCCUCAGGUGAGGAGCCUCAGCUUGUUUCCGUGUAACCUACCUUUGAGGUGUCUUCCUGUAUGCUCCAUGGGUUAUAGCCCCCAUACUCUACGGUCCAUAGAUAGCUGCUGGUGGUAUAAUGGUGAGCAUAGCUGGUU